This 491-nucleotide ribosomal RNA is filed under the name marine sediment bacterium BB0608_2216_9.1_7G0. Its description in RNAcentral is "bacterial SSU rRNA". It matches the Rfam family "Bacterial small subunit ribosomal RNA", at positions 73 to 557 of the family's 1533-position model. The record is from RNAcentral.
GAGGUGCUUGCACCUCUGGCGUCGAGCGGCGGACGGGUGAGUAAUGCUUGGGAAUAUGCCUUAUGGUGGGGGACAACAGUUGGAAACGACUGCUAAUACCGCAUGAUGUCUACGGACCAAAGUGGGGGACCUUCGGGCCUCACGCCAUAAGAUUAGCCCAAGUGGGAUUAGCUAGUUGGUGAGGUAAUGGCUCACCAAGGCGACGAUCCCUAGCUGGUUUGAGAGGAUGAUCAGCCACACUGGGACUGAGACACGGCCCAGACUCCUACGGGAGGCAGCAGUGGGGAAUAUUGCACAAUGGGCGCAAGCCUGAUGCAGCCAUGCCGCGUGUGUGAAGAAGGCCUUCGGGUUGUAAAGCACUUUCAGUAAGGAGGAAAGGUUAAGUGUUAAUAGCACUUAGCUGUGACGUUACUUACAGAAGAAGCACCGGCUAACUCCGUGCCAGCAGCCGCGGUAAUACGGAGGGUGCGAGCGUUAAUCGGAAUUACUGG